AGCCAGUGAUGACACUUGAUAAACUUUUCUGACACCUCGUAUGACUGCUGCCAUGCAGCAUUUGAUUAUGUGUUCUGUCUGAGGCUC
This is a small nucleolar RNA of Anguilla anguilla (European eel), 87 nucleotides long. RefSeq annotates it as small nucleolar RNA SNORD60. Lineage: Eukaryota; Metazoa; Chordata; Actinopteri; Anguilliformes; Anguillidae. The record is from RefSeq and is a predicted model, not a curated record. The transcript has a single exon.